GGGAUGGAGCUGCCAGGGACAUGGCCCCUCCCACCACAAGUGGCCAAGGGCAUGUUGUGGUCGGGAAGCUUCACCGGUCGACCCCGGCCACCUCACCUCUGCCUGCCACUCGGGGUCCUGGGCCCUGCUGCCCGCCGAGUGCAGCUGCAACGCCCCUUUUGCCUAAAGCAGCAGGCCCUGCCGACAGGGACCUGAGCAUCUUUUUCUUCCUUCCUUGGCCUCUGAGGUCCUGAGAGGGAGCUCCCCAACUCUCCCGCCCCAGUCAGCGGUCACAGGGGAGUCUCUGGGCCCACAGCAGGGCUGGCCUGGUAGCUGAGACCCUGGUGGCUCCUGGCCACGCUCAGGAAGGCCCGUGUGGUCAGGGCUGCAUUUGAGCCAGACCCACACUGGGGAUCUGCCGAGGGCUGGGUGCUGAUGUCCCCGCCCCGCGCCCCCCGUCGAUGUCUCUUGCCAGGCGCGACUCUUCGAUGAGCCACAGCUGGCCAGCCUGUGCCUGGAGAACAUCGACAAAAACACUGCAGACGCCAUCACCGCGGAGGGCUUCACCGACAUUGACCUGGACACGCUGGUGGCUGUCCUGGAGCGUGACACACUGGGCAUCCGUGAGGUGCGGCUGUUCAACGCCGUUGUCCGCUGGUCCGAGGCCGAGUGUCAGCGGCAGCAGCUGCAGGUGACGCCGGAGAACAGGCGGAAGGUUCUGGGCAAGGCCCUGGGCCUCAUUCGCUUCCCGCUCAUGACCAUCGAGGAGUUCGCCGCAGGUAACAGAGCUCGGGCCCAGGGGCUGGUUUGGGAGGGGAGUGGCACACAGGUGGGCAUCUGGGUACCGAGGAUAGUGCCAAGUUCACUGCGGAAAGCCUGGCAGAUGCCUGGAGUAUACAGAUGGGAAGAAACCUGGCUUGUGAGGACGCGUCCACGGGGCCAUCUGUUAGCCCCGGCCCGGCUCUGUCCCCACCGUGCGCAUUGCCAGACCCCGCCUCUCGUGUCUGUCCAGCUGUUUUGGUGGCAUCUUCCCAGGAGGGAAGGGAGUCCCCAUCUCGGGCCCUUGUGCUACCUGCUGGUGCAGGUACCG
RNAcentral lists this small RNA (1069 nucleotides) under Pan troglodytes (chimpanzee). RNAcentral's name for it is "retained intron". The record is from RNAcentral. Lineage: Eukaryota; Metazoa; Chordata; Mammalia; Primates; Hominidae.